GACGAACGCUGGCGGCGUGCCUAAUACAUGCAAGUCGAACGCACGAAGUUGAAGAGCUUGCUCUUUAACCAAGUGAGUGGCGGACGGGUGAGUAACACGUGGGUAACCUGCCCAUUAGAGGGGGAUAACAUUCGGAAACGGAUGCUAAUACCGCAUAGUUUCAGGGAUCGCAUGAUUCUUGAAGGAAAGGUGGCUUCGGCUACCACUAAUGGAUGGACCCGCGGCGUAUUAGCUAGUUGGUGAGGUAAUGGCUCACCAAGGCAAUGAUACGUAGCCGACCUGAGAGGGUGAUCGGCCACACUGGGACUGAGACACGGCCCAGACUCCUACGGGAGGCAGCAGUAGGGAAUCUUCCGCAAUGGACGAAAGUCUGACGGAGCAACGCCGCGUGAGUGAAGAAGGUUUUCGGAUCGUAAAACUCUGUUGUUAAAGAAGAACAAGGAUGAGAGUAACUGCUCAUCCCCUGACGGUAUUUAACCAGAAAGCCACGGCUAACUACGUGCCAGCAGCCGCGGUAAUACGUAGGUGGCAAGCGUUGUCCGGAUUUAUUGGGCGUAAAGCGAGCGCAGGCGGUUCUUUAAGUCUGAUGUGAAAGCCCCCGGCUCAACCGGGGAGGGUCAUUGGAAACUGGAGAACUUGAGUGCAGAAGAGGAGAGUGGAAUUCCACGUGUAGCGGUGAAAUGCGUAGAUAUGUGGGAGGAACACCAGUGGCGAAGGCGACUCUCUGGUCUGUAACUGACGCUGAGGCUCGAAACGUGGGGGAGCAAACAGG
Molecule: ribosomal RNA, 772 nt
Filed under: uncultured Vagococcus sp.
Lineage: Bacteria; Bacillati; Bacillota; Bacilli; Lactobacillales; Enterococcaceae
Description: bacterial SSU rRNA
Rfam family: Bacterial small subunit ribosomal RNA
Source: RNAcentral